This 276-nucleotide long non-coding RNA is filed under the name Lathyrus oleraceus (garden pea). RNAcentral's name for it is "Pisum sativum (pea) long non-coding RNA (PSAT_LNC015155)". The record is from RNAcentral. Lineage: Eukaryota; Viridiplantae; Streptophyta; Magnoliopsida; Fabales; Fabaceae.
GAGGUUCUAGCGGAAGGGCGGUGUUCCGUCGGAAAUGAGGAUGUUGGUGGCUGGAGGCAAAGAUGAAAGUUUUCUCUUUUUUUUUCCAACAGAGAGAGUAUGCUCCUGGUAUCUCGUGGAGGGCACCCUUUUUUUGUUUUUCCUUUCUUUUUUUAGAGUCUCUCAGUGGUGAUGGUGUUCCAGCUAGUGAGAGAAGAGAAUUAACAUUUUUUAUUUUCCUUUUUUCAUUUCUUUGUCCUCUCGCGAGUAGAGAGACGUUGGAGGAUUAGUGUGUGG